This 466-nucleotide ribosomal RNA is filed under the name uncultured bacterium. Its description in RNAcentral is "partial 16S ribosomal RNA". It matches the Rfam family "Bacterial small subunit ribosomal RNA", at positions 28 to 507 of the family's 1533-position model. The record is from RNAcentral.
GAUGAACGCUGGCGGCGUGCUUAACACAUGCAAGUCGAACGGAAAGGCUCCUGCUUGCAGGGGUACUCGAGUGGCGAACGGGUGAGUAACACGUGGGUGAUCUGCCCUGCACUUCGGGAUAAGCCUGGGAAACUGGGUCUAAUACCGGAUAGGACGAUGGUUUGGAUGCCAUUGUGGAAAGUUUUUUCGGUGUGGGAUGAGCUCGCGGCCUAUCAGCUUGUUGGUGGGGUAAUGGCCUACCAAGGCGUCGCCGGGUAGCCGGCCUGAGAGGGUGUACGGCCACAUUGGGACUGAGAUACGGCCCAGACUCCUACGGGAGGCAGCAGUGGGGAAUAUUGCGCAAUGGGCGCAAGCCUGAUGCAGCGACGCCGCGUGGGGGAUGACGGCCUUCGGGUUGUAAACUCCUUUCGCUAGGGACGAAGCGCAAGUGACGGUACCUGGAGAAGAAGCACCGGCUAACUACGUG